Haliotis rubra (blacklip abalone) is the source of this 446-nucleotide long non-coding RNA. RefSeq lists it as uncharacterized. The transcript has 3 exons. The record is from RefSeq and is a predicted model, not a curated record. Lineage: Eukaryota; Metazoa; Mollusca; Gastropoda; Lepetellida; Haliotidae.
AGUAUCAGUGGGACUUUGCACAUUAUGAUCAAUUUCCUUCAAUACAAUUUCUAAGAAAGUGAUUACAAGGCAGUUCAGGAGAGGCAGAGUUUGAUUCAGACAAACACUUUAUGUCCAUUUAUUAACGGAACAAGCAGAUCUCAGUCCUUGAAAUACAUAAACCAGUUUUUGACCUGUAUGAGCAACCAGCAAAGUCUGUGUGUGACCCACAUGAGCAAGAGCCAACAGACAUGAUGGAUAGGUAUGCUGAAAACUACUUUGGAAGAACAACUGAAAGCGAGACUGCAUUGUAAGACGUCAGACUCACCUGUCACCUGCCGUGCCUCAGCAAGGAACACGGACUCAUCAUAGUGUAAUGGUGUUUGGAGAUAACAAGCAGAUAAUGACGUAUGUCAGGCUUGUCUGUUGGAGGAAUUAACAUCUUAAUGUGCAACCAUUUGCCAAAA